UCUGCCACGGCGGAGAAAAGGACACCGGAGCUCAACCCCCUUGCCGGUAUUAUAGGGGAAUCCCUCCUGAGUAGUGACGCAGGGGGACACGGACAUGCAAGACGCACCGGAUGAUCCAGUCUGCGUGUUCCAGCGGGUUCGGUGGCGCUGCGGAGCGGGAACUGAGUGUUCCAGUGGGGUCGGUGGCGGAGCAGGAGCUGAGUGCCCCCAGCCCCGGCGUCUCCACUGCACCUUGUGCGUCAACCCUCCAGCGGCCGUGUCCUCACAGAUGCAGUCCUGCAAACGCAAAGAGACACCAACGCUAUUAACGAGGUUGCCAAGGAGUUUAAGUGCAGCCACGGCUUUGUUUCUGCUGGUGCUUCUCUGUAAAGAUGGGCCCACUACAACACAGAUCCAAGAGAACCAGCUCAUAAGCCACUCCUUAUCAUUGGCCAGUAGAUCUUGCUGGUCUCUGAUAAGUCGCUCUCGCCAAGUCUUCCAACAGUGCCACAGCAGCCAUUGUGGGUCAUUACGCAUUGUAAUUGCAUGCGUUUUAAUACCCAUCCAUUUGAUUGUCAAAGCUACCCAAUUGCGUAACACCUUCAGGUGUGGUAAUUACCCUGAUUGUAACUGACAGUUCUGCGCAACGAACAUGUGAUAACAAUAUUAAACUGUGCACUCGUAUCUGCCCGACUGAGGCAUCGUAAACGGCUUCAGUUUAAACAGAAUUUGGACUGUUCACAUUAGUAUUUAUGAAAAUACAUUUCAUAACAUGCAUGUAUUGUUUAAUAAUUACAGAUCCAAUUAAAUGAUUCCCGAUUAAACUGGACAACAUCAGGGGUUCUUUGUAUUUAUCCUAAAUUGUGUCUUCCGUGUG
Long non-coding RNA from Oncorhynchus tshawytscha (Chinook salmon), 856 nucleotides. RefSeq lists it as uncharacterized. NCBI's taxonomy places the organism in Eukaryota, Metazoa, Chordata, Actinopteri, Salmoniformes, Salmonidae. The transcript has 2 exons. The record is from RefSeq and is a predicted model, not a curated record.